This 192-nucleotide non-coding RNA is filed under the name Lutispora thermophila. The record is from RNAcentral. Lineage: Bacteria; Bacillati; Bacillota; Clostridia; Lutisporales; Lutisporaceae. RNAcentral also lists the same sequence under 1 other name.
AAGUGAAUAUCUAAAACAGGUUCUGUUGUAUGAUUAUGGAUCAUAUGACAGUGAAAAGGGAAGUGGGUUAGAAUCCCACGCGGUCCCGCCGCUGUGUAAGAAGAGUCUUUGCAAUAUGCCACUGGGAAACUGGGAAGGCUGCAAAGGCGAUGACGCUUGAGCCAGAAGACCUGCCUGUUUUAUUACACCAUG